GGCUUCCUACGGGAGGCAGCAGUGGGGAAUUUUGGACAAUGGGGGAAACCCUGAUCCAGCCAUCCCGCGUGUGCGAUGAAGGCCUUCGGGUUGUAAAGCACUUUUGGCAGGAAAGAAACGUCAUGGGUUAAUACCCUGUGAAACUGACGGUACCUGCAGAAUAAGCACCGGCUAACUACGUGCCAGCAGCCGCGGUAAUACGUAGGGUGCAAGCGUUAAUCGGAAUUACUGGGCGUAAAGCGUGCGCAGGCGGUUCGGAAAGAAAGAUGUGAAAUCCCAGAGCUUAACUUUGGAACUGCAUUUUUAACUACCGAGCUAGAGUGUGUCAGAGGGAGGUGGAAUUCCGCGUGUAGCAGUGAAAUGCGUAGAUAUGCGGAGGAACACCGAUGGCGAAGGCAGCCUCCUGGGAUAACACUGACGCUCAUGCACGAAAGCGUGGGGAGCAAACAGGAUUAGAUACCCUGGUAGUCCACGCCCUAAACGAUGUCAACUAGCUGUUGGGGCCUUCGGGCCUUGGUAGCGCAGCUAACGCGUGAAGUUGACCGCCUGGGGAGUACGGUCGCAAGAUUAAAACUC
This 576-nucleotide ribosomal RNA is filed under the name uncultured bacterium. RNAcentral's name for it is "bacterial SSU rRNA". It matches the Rfam family "Bacterial small subunit ribosomal RNA", at positions 333 to 902 of the family's 1533-position model. The record is from RNAcentral.